CUCAGGACGAACGCUGGCGGCGUGCCUAACACAUGCAAGUCGAGCGGGGACAUGCGACGGAUAGGAAGUUUCGGAUGGAAUUGAAGAUGUAUGUUCUAGCGGCGGACGGGUGAGUAACGCGUGAGCAACCUGUCCUUCACAGGGGGAUAACACAGCGAAAGUUGUACUAAUACCGCAUAAGACCACAUUGGGACAUCCCAGAGGGGUCAAAGGAGCAAUCCGGUGAAGGGUGGGCUCGCGUCCGAUUAGAUAGUUGGUGAGGUAACGGCCCACCAAGUCGACGAUCGGUAGCCGACCUGAGAGGGUGAUCGGCCACAUUGGGACUGAGACACGGCCCAAACUCCUACGGGAGGCAGCAGUGGGGAAUAUUGGGCAAUGGGGGGAACCCUGACCCAGCAACGCCGCGUGAGGGAAGAAGGUUUUCGGAUCGUAAACCUCUGUCCCAGAUGAAGAGGAAGAGACGGUAAUCUGGGAGGAAGCCCCGGCUAACUACGUGCCAGCCGCAGC
This 507-nucleotide ribosomal RNA is filed under the name uncultured bacterium. RNAcentral describes it as "bacterial SSU rRNA". It matches the Rfam family "Bacterial small subunit ribosomal RNA", at positions 23 to 518 of the family's 1533-position model. The record is from RNAcentral.